UUAACUAUUAUCAAGUACUCAGACAACACUAAAUCAAGAGUUUGAGAUCCUCUGGCAGACGCUGACCAGCCGAAGCCAGCGGCCCGAAGGCGGGCCUGCCAAAGCAACAAAGGUAUGGUAAACAAAGGGUGGGAGAUCUACCCCAAAGGGCAAGUUCUCGGUAAUGAUCCUUCCGCAGGUUCACCUACGGAAA
Molecule: unclassified non-coding RNA, 193 nt
Filed under: uncultured fungus
Lineage: Eukaryota; Fungi
Description: sequence contains ITS1
Source: RNAcentral